This 171-nucleotide microRNA precursor is filed under the name Triticum aestivum (bread wheat). RNAcentral's name for it is "MIR2118 microRNA precursor family". It matches the Rfam family "MIR2118 microRNA precursor family". The record is from Rfam by way of RNAcentral. Lineage: Eukaryota; Viridiplantae; Streptophyta; Magnoliopsida; Poales; Poaceae.
GUCAAGAAGAGGAAGUAAAGAGAACCUGAGAGUAGUAGGAAUGGGAACAUGUAGGAAAGCAUAACCUGCUUUGUUUUCACCUCUAGUAUUGGAGGUGAGAAUUCAGUUUGGUAUUUUCCGAUGCCUCCUAUUCCUAUUGUUCUCAAGAACUCCUUCCUUUUCUUAUCGGCU